This 200-nucleotide ribosomal RNA is filed under the name uncultured bacterium. RNAcentral describes it as "partial 16S ribosomal RNA". It matches the Rfam family "Bacterial small subunit ribosomal RNA", at positions 8 to 210 of the family's 1533-position model. The record is from RNAcentral.
AGAGUUUGAUCCUGGCUCAGGACGAAUGCUGGCGGCGUGCUUAACACAUGCAAGUCGAACGGUGAAGCCCUUCGGGGCGGAUCAGUGGCGAACGGGUGAGUAACACGUGGGCAAUCUGCCCUGCACUCUGGGACAACUCCGGGAAACCGGGGCUAAUACCGGAUAUGACGCAUUCCCGCAUGGGGGUGUGUGUAAAGCUC